UACGUAGGGUGCAAGCGUUGUCCGGAAUUAUUGGGCGUAAAGAGCUUGUAGGCGGUUUGUCGCGUCUGCUGUGAAAUUUCGGGGCUCAACCCCGAACUUGCAGUGGGUACGGGCAGACUAGAGUGUGGUAGGGGAGACUGGAAUUCCUGGUGUAGCGGUGAAAUGCGCAGAUAUCUGGAGGAAUACCGGUGGCGAAGGCGGCAUCCUGGACCGAGAUUGACGCUGAUGAGCGAAAGCUAGGGGGAGCAAACGGGG
This 255-nucleotide ribosomal RNA is filed under the name uncultured bacterium. RNAcentral describes it as "partial 16S ribosomal RNA". It matches the Rfam family "Bacterial small subunit ribosomal RNA", at positions 524 to 777 of the family's 1533-position model. The record is from RNAcentral.